This 1325-nucleotide ribosomal RNA is filed under the name metagenome. Its description in RNAcentral is "bacterial LSU rRNA". It matches the Rfam family "Bacterial large subunit ribosomal RNA", at positions 1561 to 2925 of the family's 2925-position model. The record is from RNAcentral.
AGUGGAUGGGGAGCAACCUAGUUGUGCGUGUGUAAAGGUAGUGCCAAGAAAAGCGGUGAUCAUGAUGAAAAUCAAUUCCCGGUACCCGAAACCGACACAGGUGGGCAAGUAGAGAAUACUAAGGGGCGCGAGGUAACUCUCUCCAAGGAACUCGGCAAAAUGACCCCGUAACUUAGGGAGAAGGGGUGCCACCGAGAGGUGGUCGCAGUGAAGAGGCCCAGGCGACUGUUUAGCAAAAACAUAGGUCUCUGCAAACUCGAAAGAGGAGGUAUAGGGGCUGACGCCUGCCCAGUGCCGGAAGGUUAAAGAAGUUGGUCAGUCUUAGGAUGAAGCUAGCGACUGAAGCCCCGGUGAACGGCGGCCGUAACUAUAACGGUCCUAAGGUAGCGAAAUUCCUUGUCGGGUAAGUUCCGAGCCGCACGAAAGGCGUAACGAUCUGGGCGCUGUCUCGGAGAGAGGCUCGGCGAAAUAGGAUUGUCUGUGAAGAUACGGACUACCUGCAUUUGGACAGAAAGACCCUAUGAAGCUUUACUAUAGCUUGGAAUUGUGUUCGGGCUUCCUGUGCGCAGGAUAGGUGGGAGGCGUAGAAGGUAUUCCUGUGGGGAUACUGGAGCCAACGGUGAGAUACCACUCUCAGGAGGCUAGAAUUCUAACUUAAUUAAGGACAGUUUCAGGUGGGUAGUUUGACUGGGGCGGUCGCCUCCAAAAAGGUAACGGAGGCGUACAAAGGUUCCCUCAGACUGGUUGGAAAUCAGUCGAAGAGUGCAAAGGCAGAAGGGAGCUUGACCGCGAGAAGUACAGUUCGAGCAGGGUGGAAACACGGUCUUAGUGAUCCGACGGUGCUGUGUGGAAGGGCCGUCGCUCAACGGAUAAAAGUUACUCUAGGAUAACAGGCUGAUCUCCCCCAAGAGUUCACAUCGACGGGGAGGUUUGGCACCUCGAUGUCGGCUCAUCGCAACCUGGGGCGGAAGUACGUCCCAAGGGUUGGGCUGUUCGCCCAUUAAAGCGGUACGUGAGCUGGGUUCAGAACGUCGUGAGACAGUUCGGUCCAUAUCCGAUGUAGGCGUGAGAAUAUUGAGAGGAGCCUUCCUUAGUACGAGAGGACCGGGAAGGACGCACCGCUGGUGUACCUGUUAUGAUGCCAAUUGUAAACGCAGGGUAGCCAAGUGCGGAGAGGAUAACCGCUGAAAGCAUCUAAGUGGGAAGCCCACCUCAAGAUGAGUAUUCUGGUGUAAGGUCACGGGAAGACGACCCGUAAAUAGGCACGAGGUGGAAGUGCAGAGAUGUAUGAAGCCGAAGUGUACUAAUAGACCGUCGGCUUGACC